RNAcentral lists this ribosomal RNA (428 nucleotides) under uncultured bacterium. Its description in RNAcentral is "bacterial SSU rRNA". It matches the Rfam family "Bacterial small subunit ribosomal RNA", at positions 355 to 775 of the family's 1533-position model. The record is from RNAcentral.
UGGGGAAUAUCGGACAAUGGGGGGAACCCUGAUCCAGCGAUGCCGCGUGGGUGAAGAAGGCCUUCGGGUUGUAAAGCCCUUUAGGUUGGGAAGAAAGGUACUAUGUUAAGAGCUAAGUACUGUGACGGUACCGACAGAAUAAGCACCGGCAAACUCUGUGCCAGCAGCCGCGGUAAUACAGAGGGUGCGAGCGUUAAUCGGAAUUACUGGGCGUAAAGGGCGCGUAGGCGGUAAUACAUGUGUGAUGUGAAAGCCCCGGGCUUAACCUGGGAAGUGCAUCGCAAACUAUAUUUCUGGAGUAUAUGAGAGGGUGGCGGAAUUUCCGGUGUAGCGGUGAAAUGCGUAGAGAUCGGAAGGAACGUCGAUGGCGAAGGCAGCCACCUGGCAUAAUACUGACGCUGAGGCGCGAAAGCGUGGGGAGCGAACAG